UUGGCAGCGAAGAAGAGGCCCAGCUCACCUCCACGCAGGUGUCUUCUUCUCACGGACCCAGCCCCAGUAGCAGCCUCGAUUUCAAAAAAAAAGAAGAAAAAAACAUGGCGAGAACAAAACCACGGAGGCGGCCGGGACGCCGAGGAGGCGGAGGAGGAGCACGACGACGACGACGCGAAUGAUUGGGAGGAGGAAAGGGACGUACGGCGAGGCGAUCCGGGCAGGAAGGGGAAGGCGACAAGGGGAAGUGGGCCGCGACAAGAUCCAUGAUCCUAGGAGAUGGAUGGUCAGAUAUAAUUUGAAGAAGACAAUGCCCUUAGUUUGGCGCAGCCUCCCACUAUAUGAAGGGUUGGAGAAAAUGAGCAAUGCAGUAGUUAAUUUGGUAAUGGUCUCUUAUUGCUCUGCCGUACCAGUCCAUCAACCAUUGGUUAUGCAUUGGGUAUGAUCAGAAGAGCACAGUCACGUGAUGGGCAUGUGAUGGCAUGGAUUCUUGGACGAGUGGCAUGAUCAUCGAUUCAUGGUGCCUGCUCUUGGCAUCUGACAGGACAGUUACUAACAAGACGAGAAGAAGAUACUUUCUUGCUAUGAGGCAGUGAAAGCUGGAAGGACUGCAAUCAUCAGGAUGCAGCUUGGUGCGUUGCUGCUGUCUACUACUCUCCGACAGAAUGGCAUAAUUCAAGGGUCCUAAGGGCCACAAGAGUUUGGUACUUAGUGCCUCGAGUUAAUCAAACAAAACAAAAAACCAGACGGUCUACAUGAUGAGGUAUUAGAUUAGCUUAAGGACCAUAGAUCUUAGGGCAUUUACUUGGGAGCUGCAAUGCCAGUAAAAAACUAAGUACAUUUGAGGUCUUCGAGGUCUCCCUUAGUAAGUCUAUUAGCUGGAAUCCAUGGAAGAGUGUACACUCCAAGCAUGUCGAUCUCAUCAUAUCUUUUGAUAGGUGAGAGAGGGUUUGGUUGGCGUGAUCGCGAUUUUUUUUCUGUGGUGGUAUUGGAAUUAGGAGAGAGCUUGGGGGGUAAUACGGUGUUCCACAAUCCACACCCAGAUCACAGCUGUGCAGGCGUUGGUCGGACGGCUGUCGGGCACGAUACAGUUUGUUAACUGACGGAAAGCUUUUUGGCGGAUCUGCUCUGCCAUGUGAUGGUAGACCCUCUCGAUCCUGUCAUCUGGUCUGUGCAGGAAGGUACGGUUGUAGAGAACUUUUAUGUAUUGUUUGUCACUUGCUUGAUGUUCUAUCGUUCAAAAUUGAGUCCCUGGUAGAACAAGUGCUGCAGGAUACAAUGGUGGUACCAUUAUAUUAGUUCGUAUUCCUUUGCCCAGCAUGUGCUCUGUUAUGUUUCCGUACCGCUCCUACUUUGAUUUGAGGCCUUGCUGCUUCUUUGGUUAUUGUUUUUAUUUUCUGGAUUUACAAGCUUGUCAUCUAUUUUUCCACUUGCCCUCAUCAGUUUCCGCUGGAUAGCUACAGCCUCUAGGAGCUGCAGGGAAAUGACAAUAGAACCUAACACAAGCCAUCUAGUGCCCGACAAGAUAUUUAAGGUCCACCCAUAUCUCCUGAAGAAUCAAACGUGCUGUACUGUCUUCUAAUCUUAGAAACCAGAACCUUUUCUUUUAAGGAAUUGGUCAGUUCAGUUUACAAAACACAUGGUACAGAACUUCCAAAGCUAACAUCUUAACUUCAUAGGCGCUUAGAUAUAUUCCUUAGUAAUUUUGGAGUUUGACUUGAGAAUUACACCUGGUCCAUUGGCCGUGCAGUCCAUCCAAGCAAUCGAUGGACUACUGAAGAAUGUUGUGAGCUCUAGUGCCAGAUGAUUGCUCUUCUUCAAUUUGUGCAGGGCCUUGUGGUGAGUGGCGAGGAUGUUCAGCGGAGAAGUCACUCUGUUGGGAUCUACUCGGUAGGCUCUAGGCUUGCGUCGAGUGGUUUUAUUGUGGACAGCUACAAAGAAAGUGUGUAUUGUGAUGGUGCCCUGUUAGUUGAACUGGUAGGGUUGCGUUUUUGUUGGCGGCAUGUUGUUUUCUCUUUUUGGGAGUAAUCCGCAUGCGGUUCUCGUGGGUUUGAGUGGUUCCCCUUCAAAACCCUUCUGUGUAAGGUUUUUGGCAUGGUUUUCCUUAUAAACAGGGCCGAUUCUAUUAUUCUUAAUGAAUUGCAGGAACACCCUGCCCUCUUGAUGAGGUCCGUAAUAAAAAGAAUUACGCCUGGUUUGCACUACGUUGUGAUUAUUGAAAUUUCCAGUGUUUCUGAGUUAUUGAAUUGACAUGCAUAUCUGACCAGUGCUAGCUCAUGUGUUUUAAGUUGUGUCAUUACACAAGUACAUAACGAUCUUUCUAGUAGAUGUGUGGCUGCAGCUGCACUUGGUGGAUAGACAAGAGAAGCUCCAUUAUUGCACGAGAACCAACUGUUUCACAUGAAUAUUUGUACUGUGUCCAUUUGUCUUCAAGUUGGUCUGACUUAAAAAGGCAACAAGAUGCCAUUUUAGUACUAAAUGGGGAACUCAGAGAUGGGUUCUCUCUCGUGGUCAUUUGGGCUCAGGCUACAUGUUCUUGCAUAGUAAUAUAAUAUAAUCACAUUGUGAAAUAAGCAAAUUAUGCUUGCACACUAAAAUAUGUAGAUAUCCAUAGAUUCUUUUAUGGUGAUGAUAAAGCUUAGCUUUCUGAGUCUUAGAUGAAAAAAAAUGGUUGUCAUCAUAUUGAUAUGCAUGUUUUAUGAAUAACUCGUUUGGAGUCUAAAUGAAAAAAACAGGAUUGAGUGAGAUUAUAAAUCCUGGAAAGGUAUGUACCAUGUACUUCUGUUUUGAAUAUAAGAAUACCGCCUGUUUUCAUCACAUGGAGGGUGCUCUAUUCUAGCUACAUGGCAUUAGCUGGUGAUUUUGAUAUAGUAUAAGCUAGCUACUGUCGAGUCGAUCUAGAUUAAUGUUCCUGUGAUAUCUUGUUACAGAUGAAGAUCUUUUUUUGGAAAGCUCCCCAGAGUGAAGAAUCACUUUUGCAUUGUUUGGAUUGAUUGGUGCAAGGAAAGAAAGGUUCCUCAAGAUGCAUUUAGUUGAUUAGCAGCAGAGAGGAGAUUACUGGUGAGAUGUGCAUUGCCCCUAUGAGGGGAACCGGUCUGCACAAAUUAACAAACAAAAAAGACUACAGUGGAGAAAGGACAUGAGAUGAUUACCUGGAUAGGGAAGAAGAAUGCCAUCUCACUAGGAUCAAGGGCAAGGAAGGAUGCUCUCUGGCACAUGCCUUCCCUUAUGGGGACCAGAAACACAUGGGAGCUACACAACUAGAGCUCCCCAUCAAGAGCCCUCAAGAGGAACAAGGCUGUAGCCUCCUUCGGAGAUCUCUGAGAGGAGAGCUUUCUUGCCCAUAACAUCACCAUUCCCCUUCCCUGGCUCAAAUUCCACAGUAAAAUACAACAUUUCUGGAAGGAAAAUAAGUGGGCAUUUCCUAAAUGGCGCUAGAGACUUAAAGGAGGUUGGCAACAUCUGUGAGGAAGAAUGUGCAAUGAGGGAUUGGAUGCUGUGCAGCCAUGAGUUUUCCUUUUGCCCAAUUGAGCUUGGCUUUGGGAAGAAGAGAAAGGCAUUUGAUGGAGGCAAGUCCCUCAGGUGGGGAGUAGAGCCUGUGCUCCACCUGGUCAGUGUAGUAGUGGCUGCUCUGUCUAUGCCUUUGCCUUUUUUCACAAAAGAGGUAAAAAGGAGCUGUGCACUCGAAACUUUAAUGCUGGCAACCUAUACGUACCGGCAUUAUGGUACCUCUUGUCUGUGAAGCUUGUGAUGCGGGAACAGUAAAUUGGGGUAUAAGGAAAUCCUGCUGUACACUGCAAGCCCCUUUUCUUUUCUGCUGAGCAAUGAUUGGGAGUUUUGAGGCAUAUGGUAGACACUUUCUGGUUUCUUUACCCUUAGACGGCGCUAUAUGUUUAUUCAGCUUGUGCCCCAGAUUGUUUACGACACAAUUAAGCAGCAUGAGUCCAGGAAUUCAGAGAUUUGGCAGUGAGUUUCUGCGGUGCAAAACAUUCCCCUGUACACAAGGACAACUGUGGUUGUAUGGAAGCAUACGUUUCUUUAUUGAUCCUGUCAUGAAAACCGGUAAGCAGAUCCCAAGAGCAGCCUGCCUGCCUUGCCUGUCCUAAGUACUCCUCACUGCUCCCCCCACAAACACUGGAGUCCAAUGCAAGCCACGCCAAUCCAUUCCAGCAACAGUUGCAGGGCCCUCCACUCCUCGCCGCGGUCCGAUGCGGCAGCAGCGCCUUUAUGAGGACGAGCCUCAUCGGCCGCUACAGUUCUGGUCCUUGGUCGGCCCGCGAUCGCCCUUGGCAGUGACAGCCAGCUUGGCCGGACACCGUACAUGUCUUGUGCACAAACACCAAACUACACAAAUGUGUUACUGAGGGGUAGUAGCAAUGGAGAUGAUGCAGCGAUGCUGAAGCAGAGCAGGCGGCAACCGUACACUAACGCCAUUGGUAUGAGCAAAUCUACCUAUCUACAUGCUGCUUGGUGCUGCUGCUUUCUUGGCUGCCGUGUUUGUUCCAACUGUGGCACACCAUUUGUUCCCUUAGCAAGGCACUCUUAAAUAGCCAGCACCCAGCAGUGCCCAUCUCUUCCUUUAAUGGCUUCUACUCUGCAUUGCAAGAGGACCACAGAGAGAAGGAAGAAUGACAGAGAAAGUAAACAGAGGCACUGUGGUGCCACAAUCUUAACAUCAUGCAUGCAUCUCUUAUACUCGUCUUUCCUUUUUGUACUUUUUUUUGCCUCUCCUUUUUCUUCUUGUUUCCUUGCCUUUUUCUCUUC
Molecule: long non-coding RNA, 4764 nt
Organism: Brachypodium distachyon (stiff brome)
Lineage: Eukaryota; Viridiplantae; Streptophyta; Magnoliopsida; Poales; Poaceae
Exons: 7
Source: RefSeq, a predicted model, not a curated record